Long non-coding RNA from Acanthaster planci (crown-of-thorns starfish), 289 nucleotides. NCBI's taxonomy places the organism in Eukaryota, Metazoa, Echinodermata, Asteroidea, Valvatida, Acanthasteridae. The record is from RefSeq and is a predicted model, not a curated record.
CUCCUCUUUGACACCAAGAUUGGGGUCUGAAAUAUUACAACACCCUCAUUUGUAAAAAAGAUUUUAAAAAAAUACAAGUGGCUUCUCGGCAUCUUGGGUAGUUCCCUUGAGGGACUCCUGGCUCUGCAUUACCUUGCUGUAGGAGAAGUACCAAUGACAGCAGUGACUAGAAGCAGCAUUGAGAGCAAUGAAGCCUUGACAGAUGAUGCCGACGCAUACAAUAUUCCCCGGCACAAAGCUGAUACACACCAUGACGAGACUGACACAAUAGGUCCUGGGCUUGUCCAAU